UGAGGAAUAUUGGUCAAUGGACGAGAGUCUGAACCAGCCAAGUAGCGUGCAGGAUGACGGCCCUAUGGGUUGUAAACUGCUUUUGUUUGGGAAUAAUCGACAUUACGUGUAAUGUUUUGCAUGUACCAUUCGAAUAAGGACCGGCUAAUUCCGUGCCAGCAGCCGCGGUAAUACGGAAGGUCCAGGCGUUAUCCGGAUUUAUUGGGUUUAAAGGGAGUGUAGGCGGUUGGUUAAGCGUGUUGUGAAAUGUAGAUGCUCAACAUCUGACUUGCAGCGCGAACUGGCUGACUUGAGUACACACAACGUAGGCGGAAUUCAUGGUGUAGCGGUGAAAUGCUUAGAUAACAUGAAGAACUCCGAUUGCGAAGGCAGCUUACGGGAGUGUUACUGACGAUUAAGCUCGAAGGUGCGGGUAUCGAACAGG
Molecule: ribosomal RNA, 424 nt
Filed under: Verrucomicrobiota bacterium
Lineage: Bacteria; Pseudomonadati; Verrucomicrobiota
Description: Verrucomicrobia bacterium partial 16S ribosomal RNA
Rfam family: Bacterial small subunit ribosomal RNA
Source: RNAcentral